Long non-coding RNA from Danio aesculapii, 459 nucleotides. RefSeq lists it as uncharacterized. The record is from RefSeq and is a predicted model, not a curated record. Lineage: Eukaryota; Metazoa; Chordata; Actinopteri; Cypriniformes; Danionidae. The transcript has 3 exons.
CACUGCAGCAGACGCAGAGACAGUUCUGAGGCAAACGGCCCUGACAAAACCUCACACAUCCUGAAAAACAAAAAGGCAAAUGCAAAAGAAAGUGUGUGUCAUCAGAAGCAGCAGUGUGUUGAAGAGGCCUGUCAGUUCUCUCUGUAGCCGGUGACUGAGGUGGGCCUGGAGUUUGUCCACUUCCCCCUGUGAUUGGAUGUGUGUGUGGUUCUGCGGAUCAGCGCUCAGCAACAAGUUCAGCAGUGUGUGCGACUCCUGCACACACCAAUACAGAUAUUUAACAACGCGAUCUGUCAGUUACAGCUGCUGGAUGCCUCCAGAUUUAGCUGAACACAAUCUGAUGAUAGCAUUCUCAUCCUCCUGCAGGAAUAUUUCAGCUGGGAAGUCUUGCAUGAUGACAUCACGAAGCAGCUCACAGGUGGUCCGUACUAAGUUGUGGUUGUCGCUUCUAAGGGAACU